UCAAUUAAUAACACAAUUUUCCCUGUUGGGAUUAGUAGAGAUUUAGAAGCCCACGUAUACUCCAUCAACGAUUCACAAUUUAAACAUGAUCGAUUGAAGUUGUGUGUCCAAGUAAUUUGUGCUGCUUUCUAGAUUUUUUUGACUUUGUUACUUUGGGCUGUUUUUUGGUUGAAAAAAACAUUAAUAGUUUUAACUCAAAAACCCGGAAAAAUUGGUGGUUGAUUAUUGAUUAGUAGUAGGAAACUACUAUAUGACUCUUGUAAGAACUUUUGCUAAAAUGAGUUCUCAUUAUCAAUAAUUAUAGUGUUUGGCCAAACAAUAGGAAACUAAAAUAUUUCAAUGCUUGCUGCAGGAGAGACAGAUUUUUUGAACAAGUAUGGGGCUGAACUACUAGAAUCCUGUGUUGAACCCGUGGUGAUUCACGACUCCAAAGGACACACAAUACCAAGAUUAGAUGAUAAGAGCUUGAAGACCAUGAUGGAUUUCAUCGAAAGAAUUAAGAAAGAUGUCUCAAAAUAAGAAACGAGGUUAGACAACCAGCCAGUGCUUCAAAGGGAUUUUUGAAAUAUUUAUUCAUUUUAACAUAAAUUAAUAGCAUUGCUAUUUGUACUCUUAUACAAAUUUGUUACUAUUAGAUCCUCAACGCAAUCAAUUAUAUAAGAGUCAUAUUUGAAUAUAUAAGCAGAGGCUCUGUGCCAAAUUUGUGACA
This is a long non-coding RNA of Glycine soja, 709 nucleotides long. RefSeq lists it as uncharacterized. The record is from RefSeq and is a predicted model, not a curated record. The transcript has 2 exons. Lineage: Eukaryota; Viridiplantae; Streptophyta; Magnoliopsida; Fabales; Fabaceae.